UCGGGUUGUAAAGCACUUUUGUCCGGAAAGAAAACGCUCUGGUUAAUACCCGGGGCGGAUGACGGUACCGGAAGAAUAAGCACCGGCUAACUACGUGCCAGCAGCCGCGGUAAUACGUAGGGUGCAAGCGUUAAUCGGAAUUACUGGGCGUAAAGCGUGCGCAGGCGGGUUCGGCUAAGACAGAUGUGAAAUCCCCGGGGCUUAAACUGGGAACUGCAUUUGUGACUGGCGGGCUAGAGUAUGGCAGAGGGGGGGUAGAAUUCCACGUGUAGCAGUGAAAUGCGUAGAGAUGUGGAGGAAUACCGAUGGCGAAGGCAGCCCCCUGGGCCAAUACUGACGCUCAUGCACGAAAGCGUGGGGAGCAAACAGGAUUAGAUACCCUGGUAGUCCACGCCCUAAACGAUGUCAACUAGUUGUUGGGGAUUCAUUUCCUUAGUAACGUAGCUAACGCGUGAAGUUGACCGCCUGGGGAGUACGGUCGCAAGAUUAAAACUCAAAGGAAUUGACGGGGACCCGCACAAGCGGUGGAUGAUGUGGAUUAAUUCGAUGCAACGCGAAAAACCUUACCUACCCUUGACAUGUAUGGAACCUGGCUG
This 596-nucleotide ribosomal RNA is filed under the name uncultured Burkholderia sp. RNAcentral's name for it is "bacterial SSU rRNA". It matches the Rfam family "Bacterial small subunit ribosomal RNA", at positions 418 to 1003 of the family's 1533-position model. The record is from RNAcentral. Lineage: Bacteria; Pseudomonadati; Pseudomonadota; Betaproteobacteria; Burkholderiales; Burkholderiaceae.